GAGUGCUUGCACUCAAUUGGAAAGAGGAGUGGCGGACGGGUGAGUAACACGUGGGUAACCUACCCAUCAGAGGGGGAUAACACUUGGAAACAGGUGCUAAUACCGCAUAACAGUUUAUGCCGCAUGGCAUAAGAGUGAAAGGCGCUUUCGGGUGCCGCUGAUGGAUGGACCCGCGGUGCAUUAGCUAGUUGGUGAGGUAACGGCUCACCAAGGCCACGAUGCAUAGCCGACCUGAGAGGGUGAUCGGCCACACUGGGACUGAGACACGGCCCAGACUCCUACGGGAGGCAGCAGUAGGGAAUCUUCGGCAAUGGACGAAAGUCUGACCGAGCAACGCCGCGUGAGUGAAGAAGGUUUUCGGAUCGUAAAACUCUGUUGUUAGAGAAGAACAAGGACGUUAGUAACUGAACGUCCCCUGACGGUAUCUAACCAGAAAGCCACGGCUAACUACGUGCCAGCAGCCGCGGUAAUACGUAGGUGGCAAGCGUUGUCCGGAUUUAUUGGGCGUAAAGCGAGCGCAGGCGGUUUCUUAAGUCUGAUGUGAAAGCCCCCGGCUCAACCGGGGAGGGUCAUUGGAAACUGGGAGACUUGAGUGCAGAAGAGGAGAGUGGAAUUCCAUGUGUAGCGGUGAAAUGCGUAGAUAUAUGGAGGAACAC
Molecule: ribosomal RNA, 656 nt
Filed under: uncultured Bacilli bacterium
Lineage: Bacteria; Bacillati; Bacillota; Bacilli
Description: bacterial SSU rRNA
Rfam family: Bacterial small subunit ribosomal RNA
Source: RNAcentral